GUGGACUAGGGUUGGGGGAGACCAGGGAGGGGGUGCCCACAACUUGGGCUUAAGGCCCGACACGAUACAAGGCCAAGUUGGCCCAAAACUGGUGACACAUCACCUUGUCGUGGUCACAUAGAAUGAUCCACGAACCUUCUAGAGCUAGGACUAGAGCCAAAAGAACGGCAUCGUCAUCCCCGUUCCAACGUAUCAAAGAACGCCUCAUUUCAAUAUCGUAUAAGGGAGAUAUGGCUAAAAUUGUGCAGGGGUGUCGGCUGAAUCCGAACUGAACGCGACGACCGAGUUGGGGACGAC
This 297-nucleotide long non-coding RNA is filed under the name Setaria viridis. Its description in RNAcentral is "long non-coding RNA (SVIR_LNC010521)". The record is from RNAcentral. Lineage: Eukaryota; Viridiplantae; Streptophyta; Magnoliopsida; Poales; Poaceae.